This 433-nucleotide ribosomal RNA is filed under the name uncultured bacterium. RNAcentral's name for it is "partial 16S ribosomal RNA". It matches the Rfam family "Bacterial small subunit ribosomal RNA", at positions 29 to 507 of the family's 1533-position model. The record is from RNAcentral.
AACGAACGCUGGCGGCAUGCCUAACACAUGCCAGUCGAACGAGACCUUCGGGUCUAGUGGCGCACGGGUGCGUAACGCGUGGGAAUCUGCCCUUGGGUUCGGAAUAACAGUUGGAAACGACUGCUAAUACCGGAUGAUGACGUAAGUCCAAAGAUUUAUCGCCCAAGGAUGAGCCCGCGUAGGAUUAGCUAGUUGGUGAGGUAAAGGCUCACCAAGGCGACGAUCCUUAGCCGGUCUGAGAGGAUGAUCAGCCACACUGGGACUGAGACACGGCCCAGACUCCUACGGGAGGCAGCAGUGGGGAAUAUUGGACAAUGGGCGAAAGCCUGAUCCAGCAAUGCCGCGUGAGUGAUGAAGGCCUUAGGGUUGUAAAGCUCUUUUACCCGGGAUGAUAAUGACAGUACCGGGAGAAUAAGCUCCGGCUAACUCCGUG